AGGCCGGUAGCUCAGUUGGUUAGAGCGUCAAGCUUAUACCUUGAAUGUCGAAGGUUCGAGUCCUUCCCGGCCUA
This 74-nucleotide transfer RNA is filed under the name Candidatus Beckwithbacteria bacterium. RNAcentral describes it as "tRNA-Ile". It matches the Rfam family "tRNA". From Rfam's summary of the family: Transfer RNA (tRNA) molecules are approximately 80 nucleotides in length. Their secondary structure includes four short double-helical elements and three loops (D, anti-codon, and T loops). RNAcentral also lists the same sequence under 1 other name. Lineage: Bacteria; Candidatus Beckwithiibacteriota. The record is from RNAcentral.